Patiria miniata (bat star) is the source of this 651-nucleotide long non-coding RNA. RefSeq lists it as uncharacterized. The record is from RefSeq and is a predicted model, not a curated record. Lineage: Eukaryota; Metazoa; Echinodermata; Asteroidea; Valvatida; Asterinidae. The transcript has 2 exons.
GUCGGUUUCGCGCGCUUCGCCAAAUUGCAACGACGACGCGGAAAUUUUUUGGCCGCUUUUGAAUUGUGGAUUGAUUGUUGACCUGACAGAUUGUGGUGUUCGUCUCACCUAUAUGCGUCAAGGCGCUUUUUACACUUGGCCCCUGGGCGAAGAGCAUAUUUAUCAUCAUCCGCUCUGUGACGUCAAACAGAAGCUCAGUGCUCCUGAACCGGUGUUGAUAGGCUCCAGAAUGGUUUUUAAUUUUAAGAAGUGAACAACAUGAACACAAAAAUAUUACAAAUCACACGAUUAUGAGUGGUUGUGUUUUAUUUGGAUAUCCAACAUAUUAACAUUUAGUUUCUUGACUCAAACUUUAAGGCCUUGCAAUGAAAGAUGUAACAGAGAUACGGUGUCCUUGUUACGUGGGUAACAUCUAUAUGAGCAACAAAUUUAAUCCAUUUCCUGAUCGUGCAGCAUUACAAUUGUUCAUAGUUGUGUUGCUCAUUUCUGCUCUUCUCUGCAGAAGCCAAAAUAAGUGCUGUCAUGGAGUGAGUCUUGAGAAAACAGGAAUAUUGCUAAGGAGAGGGAUUUUUUUGCAUAUCAUUUAACUUCACCAUAUACAGUAGAUUGUUUUCCCACUGAAUUUAUAUAAUUAAAAUGUAAGAAUUUCCA